GUGAAUUGCCAACGUUUGUUUUGAGAAUGGAUUAGAAAUGAAAUGUUUGAACAGCAUCUGCACAGCUACACAUUUAAAAGCCCAGCAUGAGAAAUCCUCUGUGCCCAUCUGUGUGUCCGUGAUAAGUGAAAAGAGGUCAAUGGAUGUUCCAAUGAAGUUAAAUAAUGGAGACUCUACAUAUAGACUCAGUCCAGCACAGCAGAAGAGAUCAAUCUCUGUGUGAGUGUCCAUGAAGAGUGAUAGAUCAAUGGAAGCUCCAGUGAAGUUCAAUACUGAAGCUCCCUUACCUGGACAAAGGUAAUAACUGUUAACAUUUCAUCUGUAAGACUUUAUUACAUAAUGAAUGAAGGCCUUUCCCAAUAAC
This 364-nucleotide long non-coding RNA is filed under the name Astyanax mexicanus (Mexican tetra). Its description in RNAcentral is "lncRNA (ENSAMXG00005003240.1)". Lineage: Eukaryota; Metazoa; Chordata; Actinopteri; Characiformes; Acestrorhamphidae. The record is from RNAcentral.